This 419-nucleotide ribosomal RNA is filed under the name uncultured bacterium. Its description in RNAcentral is "bacterial SSU rRNA". It matches the Rfam family "Bacterial small subunit ribosomal RNA", at positions 355 to 772 of the family's 1533-position model. The record is from RNAcentral.
UAGGGAAUAUUGGUCAAUGGAUGCAAGUCUGAACCAGCCAUGCCGCGUGCAGGAAGAAGGCCUUCUGGGUUGUAAACUGCUUUUAUCUGGGGAUAAAAAGGGGGUGCGCCCCCAACUGAAGGUACCAGAUGAAUAAGCCACGGCUAACUACGUGCCAGCAGCCGCGGUAAUACGUAGGUGGCAAGCGUUGUCCGGAUUUAUUGGGUUUAAAGGGUGCGUAGGCGGUCUAUUAAGUCAGUGCUGAAAUAUCCCGGCUUAACCGGGAGGGUGGCAUUGAUACUGAUGGACUUGAGUGCAGUCGAGGUAGGCGGAAUUGACGGUGUAGCGGUGAAAUGCUUAGAUAUCGUCAAGAACACCGAUAGUGAAGACAGCUUACUAGACUGUAACUGACGCUGAGGCACGAAAGUGUGGGGAUCAAA